Molecule: ribosomal RNA, 441 nt
Filed under: uncultured bacterium
Lineage: Bacteria
Description: partial 16S ribosomal RNA
Rfam family: Bacterial small subunit ribosomal RNA
Source: RNAcentral
CCUACGGGAGGCAGCAGUCGGGAAUAUUGCGCAAUGGAGGAAACUCUGACGCAGUGACGCCGCGUGCAGGAAGAAGGUCUUCGGAUUGUAAACUGCUGUUGAUAGGGAAGAAACAAGACAGUAGUUGUAAAUUAAGCUUCGGCUAACUACGUCCCAGCAGCCGCGGUAAUACGCAUGGAGCAAGCGUUAUCCGGAUUUAUUGGGUGUAAAGGGUGCGUAGAGGGGAAGUCAAGUUGGUUGUGAAAUCCCUCGGCUUAACUGAGGAACUGCAAUUGAAACUAACAUGCUUGAGUGCUGGAGAGGAAAGUGGAAUUCCUAGUGUAGCGGUGAAAUGCGUAGAUAUAAGGAAGAACACCAGUGGCGAAGGCGACUUUCUGGACAGUAACUGACGUUGAGGCACGAAAGUGUGGGGAGCAAACAGGAUUAGAUACCCUAGUAGUC